GACGAACGCUGGCGGCGUGCUUAACACAUGCAAGUCGAACGCUGAAGCUUGGUGCUUGCACUGGGUGGAUGAGUGGCGAACGGGUGAGUAAUACGUGAGUACCCUGCCCUUGACUCUGGGAUCAGCCUGGGAAACUGGCUCCAAUACUGGAUACGACAUGUCACCGCAUGGUGGUGUGUGGAAAGGGUUUUACUGGUUUUGGAUGGGCUCACGGCCUAUCAGCUUGUUGGUGGGGUAAUGGCUCACCAAGGCGACGACGGGUAGCCGGCCUGAGAGGGGGACCGGCCACAAUGGGACUGAGAAACGGCCCAAGAUCCUAAGGGAGGGAGCAGUGGGGAAUAAUGCACAAAGGGCGGAAGACUGAUGCAACGACGCCGCGUGGGGGAUGACGGCCUUCGGGUUGUAAACCUCUUUCAGCAUGGAAGGAGCGAAAGUGACGGUACGUGGAGAAGAAACGCCGGCUAACUACGUG
This 472-nucleotide ribosomal RNA is filed under the name uncultured bacterium. RNAcentral describes it as "partial 16S ribosomal RNA". It matches the Rfam family "Bacterial small subunit ribosomal RNA", at positions 28 to 507 of the family's 1533-position model. The record is from RNAcentral.